This 497-nucleotide ribosomal RNA is filed under the name uncultured bacterium. Its description in RNAcentral is "partial 16S ribosomal RNA". It matches the Rfam family "Bacterial small subunit ribosomal RNA", at positions 28 to 507 of the family's 1533-position model. The record is from RNAcentral.
GACGAACGCUGGCGGCGUGCCUAAUACAUGCAAGUAGAACGCUGAAGAGAGGAGCUUGCUCUUCUUGGAUGAGUUGCGAACGGGUGAGUAACGCGUAGGUAACCUGCCUUGUAGCGGGGGAUAACUAUUGGAAACGAUAGCUAAUACCGCAUAACAAUGGAUGACACAUGUCAUUUAUUUGAAAGGGGCAAUUGCUCCACUACAAGAUGGACCUGCGUUGUAUUAGCUAGUAGGUGAGGUAAUGGCUCACCUAGGCGACGAUACAUAGCCGACCUGAGAGGGGGAUCGGCCACACUGGGACUGAGACACGGCCCAGACUCCUACGGGAGGCAGCAGUAGGGAAUCUUCGGCAAUGGGGGCAACCCUGACCGGGCAACGCCGCGUGAGUGAAGAAGGGUUUCGGAUCGUAAAGCUCUGUUGUAAGUCAAGAACGGGUGUGAGAGUGGAAAGUUCACACUGUGACGGUAGCUUACCAGAAAGGGACGGCUAACUACGUG